GUGUGUGUUUUCUUUUUUUUUUUGUUUGUGUUUGUGUGUGUGUGCGGCAAGCAACAAGAAACGUUCAACAAUUGUCGGGAUAGGGAAAUUUGAUAAAAGACUGAGUCUAUUUAAAGCAAAUUUUGAAACUCGAACCGUUGGCCUACUCGAUCAGAAUGAUUAUCCCAUUUGUCAGGCAACGGGCGACGGAUUAACGAGACGAAGAGUGCGCAAUGCGCCCCCCCCUCCCCCUUCCGGAUGCAGCGACGCCAACGCUAGCGGCGACGGCGACGCCGACGUUGUUUGCGGCCUACGUAUUGCAGUCAAAAGAACCAAAGCAAAACGAACGAUCAAAAAGUAAACAAAAUUAACAGGCACUGAUCGAAUACGAAAUACCACGCAAUAGAAUUUUUCGAAUAUAUAUCACACUUGAAAAAUUGUUUUAAAAUAUAAA
This is a long non-coding RNA of Drosophila montana, 433 nucleotides long. RefSeq lists it as uncharacterized. The transcript has 2 exons. The record is from RefSeq and is a predicted model, not a curated record. Lineage: Eukaryota; Metazoa; Arthropoda; Insecta; Diptera; Drosophilidae.